Molecule: long non-coding RNA, 490 nt
Organism: Dreissena polymorpha
Lineage: Eukaryota; Metazoa; Mollusca; Bivalvia; Myida; Dreissenidae
Exons: 2
Source: RefSeq, a predicted model, not a curated record
CAAAACCUUCACAGAAAAGUGUGUAUCUGGUAAAAAGUUGUCGGAUCAUGUUAAGGUCAUGCAGGAACAAGUAAAUUCAUUUCUGACACAGCUAGUCGAAGAGGAAAAGAAGUCAACCACAGCUGUUAAAAGAAAUCAAGAGGAUGAUGUGGAGUCAGAUGAAGAGGAUGAUGAUGAUGUUGAAGAGCCUCCGGUGAAACAGCCCAAGACAUGACUUGCUCGUUGUAAAUGUGAGAAUGGUGUAUAAACUGAAAACUGUACAGUUGUGAGAAAGCAGAAUAAAAAGUGUUUACUUUAUUGUGACUCUUGGUCGCUUGAUUAAUGUGUUUGGAACUUAUGGUUUACUUGUACAUUUUUUAAUGUAGUUUUGUUCUGUUAAAUGUUUCAACAUGAGCAUGUGUUAUAGCCCAUAAAAGAGUGUAGUUAUUUGUGAACAUUGCAAUAGCCUAUGGUAGUCCAGUAUUCACACUGGAAUAAAGUUUAAACCUAA